CCUUUCCACUUUUGUUUUCUCUUUCUGUCCAAGAACCUCUAUUCCUGUGACAGUCACUUCAUCACAAUCUGGGAUGUUUUGUUCAGUCUGUUUAAUGCUAACCGGGAAGUUGCAGGGCAUAAGUCACAGGAAAAACAUGAAGAGAGGCAGUGGAUCUUUACUUGGAGCUACGGGUUUCAUCGUGUUUCUUCUCGUGGGUAUGUUUGCAAACUCUGAAGCCAGAAAAGAUAUUCCAGUGGUGAGGAUUCCAUCAGUAGAAAGAGUAGGAACUUUGCGGCGGCCCAACGGGAAAGGCACUGAUCGUUUUGCCCGAGACUUGGAUCUGUUUUACGCGAGCAAGAGAAAAGUGCCCAAUGGACCUGAUCCCAUUCACAACAGGAGGGCGGAGACAUCUAGACGAUCACCAGGAGUCUGAUUGCACGCUGGGAGACCAUAACCAACCGUGGAUUACAAUAUGAAUUUUGAGCACGUAUCGUGAAAUCAAGGCGCCCUGUAGACUGCGUUUUCAUGUCAAGAACAAGAAGCCUGUGUUUCUUGGGGGUAAGCCAUAACUUGAGAGAUAUGCCAAUCCAUAGACAGACCCUUUUAAACCCCAUAGAUUCUUUGAGCCAAGUCUGCAACUUUUCCCCCCGACGGGGAAAAAUCGUGGAGUUGUUGAGGCAGAUGCUAAGCGAACGAAGAAGACUGAAGGGCCUUCUAAGGGUCUGUGUCUAUCUUUCUUUCUUUGCCGUUUUCUUUUUGAAAUGUAUGCUUUGUUUGAAGCUUGCUUUGGUGUUCUGUCCCCUGCUUAAAGCGCCCAUUAACUAAAGUUGCUCUGUUUCCAAAAAACAAUUUCCCCUUAAACACUGGUGGUGGUGGUCAUUUGCAUGGUCAGGGCCCCUUUCUUUAUGGUU
This is a long non-coding RNA of Tarenaya hassleriana, 893 nucleotides long. RefSeq lists it as uncharacterized. NCBI's taxonomy places the organism in Eukaryota, Viridiplantae, Streptophyta, Magnoliopsida, Brassicales, Cleomaceae. The record is from RefSeq and is a predicted model, not a curated record. The transcript is spliced from 3 exons.